ACCUAUGGCCAUGCCACCCUGAACAAGCCUAAUCCCAUUUUACCUUGGAACCUAAGCAGGGUCGGGCCUGGUUAGUACUUGGAUGGGAGACCACCUAGGAAGACCAGGUGCUGUAGGCG
This 119-nucleotide ribosomal RNA is filed under the name Pteropus alecto (black flying fox). RNAcentral also lists the same sequence under 1 other name. Lineage: Eukaryota; Metazoa; Chordata; Mammalia; Chiroptera; Pteropodidae. The record is from RNAcentral.